Coffea eugenioides is the source of this 107-nucleotide small nucleolar RNA. Lineage: Eukaryota; Viridiplantae; Streptophyta; Magnoliopsida; Gentianales; Rubiaceae. The record is from RefSeq and is a predicted model, not a curated record.
AGUCCAUGAUGUGGACAUUUCCGAAACAACUCUCUAAACCUUUCCCAUACUUCAUACAACGAUUCCCUCUCUAAUUGACUAAAACUAGUAAUAUUCAUUCUAAAUUU